CUUGAUUAGUGGCGCACGGGUGAGUAAUGCAUAGAUAAUGUGCCCCUUAGUUCGGGAUAGCCACUGGAAACGGUGAUUAAUACCGGAUACUCCUUCUUGUUAUAAGACAAGUCGGGAAAGUUUUUCGCUAAGGGAUCAGUCUAUGUUCCAUCAGCUUGUUGGUGAGGUAAUGGCUCACCAAGGCUAUGACGGAUAUCUGGUUUGAGAGGAUGAUCAGACACACUGGAACUGAGACACGGUCCAGACUCCUACGGGAGGCAGCAGUGAGGAAUAUUGCACAAUGGAGGAAACUCUGGUGCAGCAACGCCGCGUGGAGGAUGACGCAUUUCGGUGUGUAAACUCCUUUUAUUAGGGAAGAUAAUGACGGUACCUAAUGAAUAAGCACCGGCUAACUCCGCGCCAGCAGCCGCGGUAAUACGGAGGGUGCAAGCGUUACUCGGAAUCACUGGGCGUAAAGGGUGCGUAGGCUGGCUUUUAAGUCAGAUGUGAAAUCCAAUGGCUCAACCAUUGAACUGCAUUUGAAACUGAAAGCCUAGAGUUCAGAAGGGGCAGAUGGAAUUAGUGGUGUAGGGGUAAAAUCCGUAGAUAUCACUAGGAAUAUCAAAAGCGAAGGCGAUCU
Molecule: ribosomal RNA, 619 nt
Filed under: uncultured bacterium
Lineage: Bacteria
Description: bacterial SSU rRNA
Rfam family: Bacterial small subunit ribosomal RNA
Source: RNAcentral